RNAcentral lists this ribosomal RNA (116 nucleotides) under Escherichia coli. Lineage: Bacteria; Pseudomonadati; Pseudomonadota; Gammaproteobacteria; Enterobacterales; Enterobacteriaceae. The record is from RNAcentral.
CCUGGCGGCCUUAGCGCGGUGGUCCCACCUGACCCCAUGCCGAACUCAGAAGUGAAACGCCGUAGCGCCGAUGGUAGUGUGGGGUCUCCCCAUGCGAGAGUAGGGAACUGCCAGCC